GGAACGGCCGGAUGCAGGAGACGGGAAGAAACAAGCCGAUUAUGUUCGCUUUAAUUAAGUGGUUGGAAGAUGUAAAAUUCUCAAUUCUGCCAACUGAACAUAUACGAGAUUUUAAUGAAGAUGAAUAAUUAGCCGGCAUGGAGGAAACGGACCUUUAUUUGGUGGAGUGGCGACAAGAAGCCAAAAGGCGGGUGGCCGGUCUAUGAAGCCUCCAUCAUCAAGCUAGCAGAAAUCCCACCUGUCCUUCUGGCUACAGAGUACUUACCAAGCCCAUGAAAUUGAAUGCAGAUCUUCCUGAUGUGAGAUUUACAUAAAUAUGUCAAAGUCUCAACCUCAUGCUGCCCUCCCCCAUCCUCCUAAACCUGUGGAUACAAAUGCAGAUUUCCUUAAUGUAAGUUGUGCAUUUUAAUUACAUCAUGUUAUUUUUAUUAUUAUUUAUUUAUUUUAUUUUACAUUCAAAUAUUUCAAGCUUCUUGGUUAAAGAAGCU
This is a long non-coding RNA of Oreochromis aureus, 488 nucleotides long. RefSeq lists it as uncharacterized. The transcript is spliced from 5 exons. Lineage: Eukaryota; Metazoa; Chordata; Actinopteri; Cichliformes; Cichlidae. The record is from RefSeq and is a predicted model, not a curated record.